GCCAGGCACGGAGGUGCACACCUGUAAUCCCGGCAGCUUGGGAGGCUGAGGCAGGAGGAUCAUGAGUUCAAAGCCAGCCUUAGCAAUGGCGAGGCGCUAAGCAACUCAGUGAGACCCUGUCUCUA
RNAcentral lists this small RNA (125 nucleotides) under Marmota monax (woodchuck). Lineage: Eukaryota; Metazoa; Chordata; Mammalia; Rodentia; Sciuridae. The record is from RNAcentral.